Molecule: long non-coding RNA, 580 nt
Organism: Xiphophorus hellerii (green swordtail)
Lineage: Eukaryota; Metazoa; Chordata; Actinopteri; Cyprinodontiformes; Poeciliidae
Exons: 2
Source: RefSeq, a predicted model, not a curated record
CGUAACAGCCUCAGGACGAGGCACAAGGGUGUGGACCUUUACUGGACUGUGGCAAUCAGGUUGAGAGAAGAUAAGGAGAAAAAUAAAAAAAAACAACUCUCUGGUCCACCCCAGAAGUCAUCACGGUAUGCUAAUGAGCUGAGGGGGGGCAACCUUUUAAGUGCUGGAGCCCAACAGACUGAGCAGUUAGGAGACAUGGACCAGACGUGAACACUUGUAAUGAAGACGUCUAAUGACAAGGUGCAAACAGAUUCCAGACGAGCUGCUUGGCUGUUCUGUCUUGUGCCCUGGACAGGAUAUCAUCUUAUACUGUAAGUUUUUUAAAGAGACACUACAGUAUAGAUGAUGUACUAUCCAGGGUAUCAUUCCACCUCCGCCGGCGCCGGAGGAGACUCGGACUGAAACGUCAGGGGGCCGAACACACAGCCGAGGGGGGCAGUUAAACCGUUACCAUUACUGAGUUUUAGUAAUGGUAAGGGUUCUACGGCCUUCGCUCAAUGACGACGAAGGAAAGGACGAGCUGGAGCAUUGUCACAUUUAAACCAAUAAUGUCAAAUAAAAAUGAUGGUUGUCUCCCUUA